Molecule: ribosomal RNA, 499 nt
Filed under: uncultured Glomeromycotina
Lineage: Eukaryota; Fungi; Glomeromycota
Description: partial small subunit ribosomal RNA
Rfam family: Eukaryotic small subunit ribosomal RNA
Source: RNAcentral
CCAAUAGCGUAUAUUAAAGUUGUUGCAGUUAAAAAGCUCGUAGUUGAAUUUCGGGAUCAAUAUGCCGGUCAUGCCUUGGUAUGCACUGGUAUCUUUGAUUUCUCCCUUCUGACGAACUUUGAUGUCAUUAAUUUGGUGUCAUAGGGAAUCAGGACUGUUACUUUGAAAAAAUUAGAGUGUUUAAAGCAGGCUCACGCUUGAAUACAUUAGCAUGGAAUAAUGAAAUAGGACGUUUGAUUCUAUUUUGUUGGUUUCUAGGAUCGACGUAAUGAUUAAUAGGGAUAGUUGGGGGCAUUAGUAUUCAAUUGUCAGAGGUGAAAUUCUUGGAUUUAUUGAAGACUAACUACUGCGAAAGCAUUUGCCAAGGAUGUUUUCAUUAAUCAAGAACGAAAGUUAGGGGAUCGAAGACGAUCAGAUACCGUCGUAGUCUUAACCAUAAACUAUGCCGACUAGGGAUCGGAUGAUGUUAAUUUUUUAAUGACUCAUUCGGCGCCUUACG